GGGGUGAAGAUAAGACGGAUUAGCGGCGGACGGGUGAGUAACACGUGAGUAACCUGCCUUUUACACAGGGAUAGCCUCGGGAAACCGGGAUUAAAACCUGAUGAAACUAUCAAAUCACAUGAUUAAGAAAGUUAAAACUCCGGUGGUAAAAGAUGGACUCGCGUCCCAUUAGCUAGUUGGUGAAGGUAACGGCCCACCAAGGCAACGAUGGGUAGCCGGCCUGAGAGGGUGAACGGCCACAUUGGAACUGAGAAACGGUCCAAACUCCUACGGGAGGCAGCAGUGGGGAAUAUUGCACAAUGGGGGAAACCCUGAUGCAGCGACGCCGCGUGAGCGAAGAAGGCCUUCGGGUCGUAAAGCUCUUUUAUAUGGGAAGAUAAUGACGGU
Molecule: ribosomal RNA, 387 nt
Filed under: uncultured Peptoniphilus sp.
Lineage: Bacteria; Bacillati; Bacillota; Tissierellia; Tissierellales; Peptoniphilaceae
Description: bacterial SSU rRNA
Rfam family: Bacterial small subunit ribosomal RNA
Source: RNAcentral